UACGUAGGGGGCAAGCGUUAUCCGGAUUUACUGGGUGUAAAGGGAGCGUAGACGGCAUAGCAAGUCUGAAGUGAAAGCCCGUGGCUCAACCGCGGAACUGCUUUGGAAACUGUUAAGCUGGAGUACUGGAGAGGCGAGCGGAAUUCCUAGUGUAGCGGUGAAAUGCGUAGAUAUUAGGAGGAACACCAGUGGCGAAGGCGGCUUGCUGGACAGAGACUGACGUUGAGGCUCGAAAGCGUGGGGAGCAAACAGG
RNAcentral lists this ribosomal RNA (253 nucleotides) under uncultured bacterium. Its description in RNAcentral is "partial 16S ribosomal RNA". It matches the Rfam family "Bacterial small subunit ribosomal RNA", at positions 524 to 776 of the family's 1533-position model. The record is from RNAcentral.